Molecule: ribosomal RNA, 441 nt
Filed under: uncultured bacterium
Lineage: Bacteria
Description: partial 16S ribosomal RNA
Rfam family: Bacterial small subunit ribosomal RNA
Source: RNAcentral
CCUACGGGUGGCUGCAGUGGGGAAUAUUGCACAAUGGGGGAAACCCUGAUGCAGCGAUGCCGCGUGAAUGAAGAAGUAUUUCGGUAUGUAAAGCUCUAUCAGCAGGGAAGAAGGAAGACGGUACCUGACUCAGAAGCCCCGGCGAACUACGUGCAAGAAGCCGCGGUAAUACGUAGGGGGCAAGCGUUAGUCGGAUUUACUGGGUGUAAAGGGAGCGCAGACGGCUGUGCAAGUCUGAAGUGAAAGCCCCGGGCUCAACCCUGGGAUUGCUUUGGAAACUGUGGAGCUAGAGUGCUGGAGAGGUAAGUAGAAUUCCGAGUGUAGCGGUGAAAUGCGUAGAGAUUAGGAGGAACACCAGAGGCGAAGGCGGCUCACUGGACAGUAACUGACGUUGAGGUUCGAAAGCGUGGGGAGCAAACAGGAUUAGAUACCCCAGUAGUC